GGUGCCUCACGCCGCCGUGCGUGAGGUGAAACGGGAAGCCGGUGCGUCGCCCUUGGCGAUCAGUCCGGCGCUGCCCCCGCAACGGUAAGCGAGCGGGGCAUCCACGAGGCCACUGUGCUCUGGCAUGGGAAGGCGGAUGCUCCAGAACCCUCGCAAGCCCGGAGACCGGCCUGGAGCGU
This 179-nucleotide non-coding RNA is filed under the name Pseudomonas citronellolis. Lineage: Bacteria; Pseudomonadati; Pseudomonadota; Gammaproteobacteria; Pseudomonadales; Pseudomonadaceae. The record is from RNAcentral.